AGCAGCCGCGGUAAUUCCAGCUCCAAUAGCGUAUAUUAAAGUUGUUGCAGUUAAAAAGCUCGUAGUUGAAUUUCGGGAUUGACGUAAUGGUCACGCCUUAACGGGUAUGAACUAUUACUGUUGAUUUCUCACCUUCUGGAAAAACUUGAUGUCCUUAAUUGGAUGUCUUGCGGAUCCAGGACCUUUACCUUGAAAAAAUUAGAGUGUUUAAAGCAGGCAUUUUGCUCGAAUACAUUAGCAUGGAAUAAUAGAAUAGGACGGCAUGGUUCUAUUUUGUUGGUUUUCUAGGAUCACCGUAAUGAUUAAUAGGGAUAGUUGGGGGCAUUAGUAUUCAAUUGUCAGAGGUGAAAUUCUUGGAUUUAUUGAAGACUAACUACUGCGAAAGCAUUUGCCAAGGAUGUUUUCAUUAAUCAAGAACGAAAGUUAGGGGAUCGAAGACGAUCAGAUACCGUCGUAGUCUUAACCAUAAACUAUGCCGACUAGGAAUCAGACGAUGUUAAUUUUUAAUGUACUCGUUUGG
RNAcentral lists this ribosomal RNA (520 nucleotides) under uncultured Entrophospora. RNAcentral describes it as "SSU rRNA". It matches the Rfam family "Eukaryotic small subunit ribosomal RNA", at positions 569 to 1083 of the family's 1831-position model. The record is from RNAcentral. Lineage: Eukaryota; Fungi; Glomeromycota; Glomeromycetes; Entrophosporales; Entrophosporaceae.